This 244-nucleotide ribosomal RNA is filed under the name Streptomyces antioxidans. RNAcentral describes it as "partial 16S ribosomal RNA". It matches the Rfam family "Bacterial small subunit ribosomal RNA", at positions 544 to 787 of the family's 1533-position model. Lineage: Bacteria; Bacillati; Actinomycetota; Actinomycetes; Kitasatosporales; Streptomycetaceae. The record is from RNAcentral.
UCCGGAUUUAUUGGGCGUAAAGCGAGCGCAGGCGGUUCAUUAAGUCCGAUGUGAAAGCCAGGGGCUCAACCAUGGGAAUGCAGUGGAAACUGGGUGACUUGAGUGUGGUAGAGGAGAGUGGAAUUCCCGGUGUAGCGGUGAAAUGCGUAGAGAUCGGAAGGAACACCGGUGGCGAAGGCGGCUCUCUGGGCCAACACUGACGCUGAGGCGCGAAAGCGUGGGGAGCAAACAGGAUUAGAUACCC